Molecule: long non-coding RNA, 36094 nt
Filed under: Ananas comosus (pineapple)
Lineage: Eukaryota; Viridiplantae; Streptophyta; Magnoliopsida; Poales; Bromeliaceae
Description: long non-coding RNA (ACOM_LNC041718)
Source: RNAcentral
UGGUAUCGGUAUGGGGUCAUUUUGUCACCGGUUACAAAGUUUCGCAGAGGCAAACCCGAGAGUAGAGAUAUCAACGGGUUGGAUUCGGGGCGGAUUUUUGAAAACCCGAACCCGAACCCGACUCCAAACCCGAGACCCGAACCCGAACCUGAACCCGACGGAUUUUAAACAUCCAUAUCCAAAUCCGAACCCGACCAAAAAUCCGAAACCCGAACCCGAACCCGAACCCAAACCCGAAAAUUUGAACCCGAAACAAUUAUUUCUUUUUUCAAUAUUUCAAAAUAUAUUAUAUUAAAUCUAAAUUUUUAAAAUACAAAUUCAAAUAUAACAUCAAAUUUAUAUAUAUAUAUUAUAUAUAAUACAAAAUAAAUUCGGGUUCGGGUCGGGUUCGGGUUCGGGUCGGGUACAAUCAAAAUCCAUAUCCGAAUCCAUAUCCGUCGGGUUUCUAUUUUUGAUAUCCAUAUCCGAAUCCAUAUCCAUAUCCAUCGGAUAUAUCCGUUUCAUUCGGGUUCGGGUUCGGGUUCGGAUAAAAUUUCGGGUAUCCAUACCCAUUGACAUCCCUACUCGAGAGCUACUGCUCUCGGUCUGAUGCCUGGUACCGGUACAAGGGCAGUGUUAAAUCGGUAACAACAGUCCCAGAACUUCAGUUUUGCAUCUUUUUCGAUUCUAUUUCGUGCCAAUCGACGUUAAAACCUUCCUAACUCUUUUGGAACUCAUUUUUAACCCUUCCAACAUUGUUGGAAUGUUAAUUUGAUUUUGUCCAACCUUUUCUUUCAGACACUUUAGUCAAUUUGGCUAAAGUCCGGAGUACUCUACCGAAGUUUCAGUAUAUUACAAUCACAAUUACAAGAAGGCCCCUAAACAAGGGUCAAUUAGCUAAAAUGUACAUUAAAAAGGGUUGAUAAAGCACGCUGUGCGUCUACGAGACCAAUCGAGGGCACCAGUGAAUAGGUCUCGACGCAGCGAAGCUCGUGCUCGCUGUCCCGAGCGAGAAAAAUAGCCGAGUGAUGCUUCGGGGCCAAGAUUACAACACAUAACUAAGGGCUUCGGGAGCGACAACGCAAAACCAGUGAGUCGUAAACUCUCUGGUAGAAACCGAGGUGAGCACGGUGAUCAGCGACGACUGUAGGUCACCGUGCUCUCCUUCCAACCAGUCGAGGAGUUUUAGGGUCGCUGGAACAGUAAUUAGAGCGAAAAAGGUACAAUUUUGGGCUAGGCCAGCUGUUGGCUCUAGCCCGCCAUUGGAGGCACAGCGGCGGGCGCGCGGCCUAGAGGUGAGUGUAAAGGGGGAGGGGAGUACUGUGCUCACCUUGUCCGGCGACAGGGAGCGACGGCGGUGCGUCGAGAGGAGCUCAGCCUAACCAAAACUAGGGCUCGGGCAUGGGUGGUCUUCCAGCGAUGGCAGUGGCGAGAAGGGCAAUGGGGUGGUGGCAGUGCAUCCCCCACGAUGAGAGGGAGUUGGCGGCGGCGACGCCUAGGGGCGGUGGCGCCGACACUGUGAGGAGGAACCGCCACUACUAGAAAAUAGCCCGAGAAGGCUGCAGAGCUCGUGGUGGCUCUCGACGGUGUCAGGGGUUGCUGGAGGGGGUGAUUGGAACCCUAGGAUGAGGAGAAGGAGAUCCACCAGGUGCUGCCCCCUCGAGGAUGCCCGAGCUGAGCAAGAGGAAGGAGAAAGGGGAGGAAACUUGAGAAAGAAGUGAGCGGAGAUGGUGGCUGGACUAAGGCCAGCCGGAGGAUGAUCGUCGGCGGCCGAGGAAGUUCGCAGUGCUGCCAGAGGAGGGAAGGGAGGUGGCUAGGGCUCGGGGAUGGAGAGUGGAAGGCUAGGGUUAGGAGGAGAAAACCCUAAUACCUAUUUUAUACAUAAAGGUAUAUUUGUAGAAAACCCCUGGACCCUGUCAGCCCAUAAUGCAGGUUUGGACCUUACGGGAUUCGGACCUUUUACUAUCUGAACCCUUCACAGUCUAGGACUGUUUUGUGGAAAAUACUAUUUCCCUAUUUUAGAGGGGCCUAUGUGGAUAUUGUGCAAGUGGGUUUUAAACCCACUUCACCUCCCUUUAUUACUUUCAUUUGGAGAGUGAAAGAGAAAGAGAAAUUUGAGUUUUCUUUCCUUUCUUUUGGAUUUCUUCUUCUCGAAACCCCUCUAAUCCUUGGAUUAUUCUUCUUUUCUUCGUCUCCUCUAUGUUUGCAUGCACCUAGGACCUAGAGUGGAGCUCAAGCUUGAAGAAGAGAGUGGUUUGAGGGCCCAAGCUUGAACCCUAACUUUUCUAAGGUGGGAUUAGGGUUUUGUUUGAGGUUAGUAACCUUCCUUCAUCUUCUAUUAAGAGAUUCAUGAAAGUUUUGAUAGAAAAUCUAGUUUUAUAAAAACUAGGGUUUAUUUUAGGACUUUUCAAUUGUGGGUUUUUGGAUUGAAAUUGAUGGGUGUAGAACAUUCUUUUAGGUUGGAAUUGAAGCCCCAUUGCUUUGGUUUGGAGAUUGGAUAAGUUUUUCUUGGUCUAAGGUAUUUUUCACCGAUUUUUUUCAUAUUUUUUGUAAAUUUUGUGGUGAGCUUUUCAGAAACUUGUAACCUCUUGAAAAUUUUUCUGAGGGUACAAGAAGUUUAGGGGACAACUUCAUUUGAGAAACGAUCGGACUUUCGAUAGCUUUCCGGUGGAUUUGACUUCACCGAAAUUGGUGGGCUUCCCUAUGCCUCCUAUAAUGUUUAUAGGACUUAAUUGAUACUUUAGUAUGCAAUUCAUGGAAAUUUUGAAUUUUGCAUUUUUGAACGUAUAGUUGGUCACCCCAUGCAUGAUGAGUUUCAUUCUCUAUGUAGUAGAGGCCAUGGUAAAGUGCAUGCAUGUAAAGAUACAUGAGCUAGAUUCCGUAAUAUGCAAUUCAUUUGGUUGAAGCAUAAUUGCCCUCUUGUUUGCUAUAGUUGUGUUGUUAUACAUAUGCAACACUUCAUGUAGUUGAGAUAUGAUACUUUGCAUGUUUAAGACAUGUUAGAAUAUUAUGAGUUAUGAGUAAUGUAUUUGGAAAUAAGUUGAGAGAUUGGAUUUGACAAUGUACUCAACCACUAAGUCGCUAGUUGAAAUCCCAUGUUUUAGAUAUGAUAAUUGAUAACCCUUGUCCUUUGACAUGACGUAUAUGACCACACUUUCUUUCUGUUGUGCUCAUUCGCAUAAACUUAUGAGCGUCGCUCCCUACAAGCUGGCACUUCAUAGUUUAGCCUUUUCGACAUCAUGCUUGUUGUGCGGGAUUGGGCGUCGAAGUAGGACGCUGUGGGGGAGGCUCAUUCCUAGAGGAGGAAUGUUGACUACCACAGGACCAUUAGGCAUGGCGCAAGGCGGGACUCUACCACAUGUAAGUCCCUGAUGAUUGGGUAAAAAGGAAUUAAAAACUUGACAUAAUUCAUUACAACUAUUCAUUGCAUACAUAAAGUUGGACAUACAUGUGGGUUAUUACAUACAUGUAUACAUGAUAGUAGUAGAACCUAAUCUAUGUUAAUCGGCAUAGUUACAUAGAGGCAUGAUAGUAUUGAACAAUUUCAUUCUACCUUUUGAUAUAUUAGCUUUCAUUUAGCUAUUUACUAUCUGUUGCCUCAGUUGACCUAAUAGUGUAUUGUAUACAUGAUAGUGGUAGAACCUAAUCUAUGUUAAUCGGCAUAGUUACAUAGAGGCAUGAUAGUAUUGAACAAUUUCAUUCUAUCUUUUGAUAUAUUAGCUUUCAUUUAGCUCUUUACUAUCUUUUGCCUCAAUUAACCUAGUGGUGUAUUUUGCUAUUCUCGGCGGCUUACCCACUGGGAACUAUUAUUUAAUAAUUUUCACCCCCGUUAGUUGUUUGGUUUUGUUACAGAGCCUUCCACUACGGGAGAUACUAAAGGUCACAGCAAGGGGUUAGUAACUAGCUAUAGCCUCCUCUGGUGUUGCUAUAGGUGGACCCUAGGCAUCUUUCAUUUGGUUUUAGUGGUAAAAAGUGUACUUACAUAUUUUGUAUAGAGACCACUUUGAUUUCAUAAGAUAUACCAUUUUGUUGGAAUUUAUUAUAUAUCUUGUAAAUGGUUAUUAUAGUAGAUUUGAUUUUACUUCUUAAUAUUGUGUUGCACGCUCUGAUUAUCUCAUGUAGGAUGUUUGGAUUUUUCCUUUCUCUUGCUCUUCUCGUACUGUUUGUUGUAGAUACUUCCGGGGGGUAUGGUAGGAACAUGCUCCAGUAUCGAUUCAAUAUGGGGAUCGUAGGCGGAUCAUUAACUAGCUCUCUGAUGUUGUAGUGAGUCUGUCGUAAUGCGUCCACUUGCAUUAUCGUUCUCCGCCUUAUGAAGAUAGUGAACGAUUCACCGUCUUUAUUAGGGCACUGCUCAGGCCUACAAAAGCAGACUUUUUCUCUAAAUUUUAAAACACUACAGGCGGUGAAUAGUUCACCGUCUUAUGAAGACGGUGAACCAUUGACCGUCUUAUCAAUGUUUCAGCUCCGACCCCAGGACUUAGAGAAAUUUUUGCCGGUUGGGAGGCUUUGCAUUAAAGGAGGUGAAUGGUUCACCGUCUUAGGAAAGACGGUGAACCAUUCACCAUCUUCUUAAGGACACAAACGCGGAGUUGUUUUGGGGGUGGGAUUUGCAUUAAAGGCGGUGAAUGAUUCACCGUCUUAUGAAGGCGGUGAACCAUUCACCAUCUUCACAGAACAAUUACAAAGACGGUGAACGAUUCAUCAUUUUUAUAAAAAAUUCAUGACGUGGCGCCCAUGCGGCGAAAGGAGGGUUAGUUUUCCAAAUAAAAUUUUGACAGGGUCAUUUUAUAAAAAGGCCCAAAAAAGAAAGGUUAAAACAUAAAGACACAUCCUGAUCUUCGAACCAUUUUAAAAUUGACCCCCCUCUUGAAUUUUUAUUUGAUUUAUAUCCCUCUACUUAUGAAUCGUUUGAUUUAGUUGCUUAGUAGUUUCAAAAAUGUUUUAGAAUCAAACAACUAUGAGAAAUGCCCAUGUGGGUGUUUAUUUUGAUUCUAACAAAAUAUAAAAAUUAUUAAUAGAAGGAUCGAAAUCAAACAUUUAGCAAGUAGAAAAAAAGGUAGGAAAAGCUUCAAAUACCACCCCUGUGGUUUCGCAUUUAUUCAUUUUAAUAUCCUGUGGUUUAAAGUGUAUCAAUUUAUGUCUGCGACCACGAAUGACGCACCUCACAUGGUUGAUCUUAUUUUCAAUUUUCCGUGGGGUAGUAUUCAUGAUUCAGAUUAAGAUUUAAUUAUAUAUGGUUAUCAGGUAUUGUGGAUUCAUGACUUCCAAUAAACGCAAGCGUUUAUUGUUAAUUACCCCUACAAAGUGUGAUGGCACCUUCGAUUAAGAGACCUCUGUAAUGCUGAACUUGAAUAAAAGAUGAAUUUUAUAACAUAAUUCAGUAUACAAUUACAUAGCUUAACCAGGGACAUGCCCCCAGUGUAUAAUAAAAGAGAAAAUGGUUAAUUCAACGACAUGAGUAUGACGGUUGAUUGAAUUUGAUUCUGAACCAAGAUAUCAAAGUAUAUGAUCAAAUUGAUUUGAUUGGGCUCCAUAUGUUUCAGUGCUCAACAAUAUUGUUCACCCUAAGGUGAAAGGUUGGUUAAAUUCCCUAUAUAUACAUUGGGAUUUAAUCAGAUCUGAUUCGAAUUAAGCUCUAAUUAAAUGAAUUAGAGUUUGAUUUAGUUAAUUGAACUUUAAAUAUAUGUGAUAAAGUCCAAUGGGAUUUGAUUCAAUGUAAGCCUUCAUCCUAAAUGUAUGUGUUAGGAUUAGCCCAAAUAUUUUGAAUUAGACUCUAAUUUUAUAUCUUAGAGUCUAGUGUAAUUAGGCUCUAAGCUUAUGGGUUAGAGCUUAAUUAUAUUUACUUUGGAUUCACCAUAAGGUGAAAUGUUAACUAAAUCCUAAUUAUAUAUAUUAGGAUUAGUCAGAUUUAAUCUAAAUUAAACUCUAAGUAUAUGUACNACUUUGGAUUCACCAUAAGGUGAAAUGUUAACUAAAUCCUAAUUAUAUAUAUUAGGAUUAGUCAGAUUUAAUCUAAAUUAAACUCUAAGUAUAUGUACUAGAGUCUAACUUAGCUUCAUUUGUUUGAACUCCAAGUAAAUAUAUUAGAGUCCAAUAAAUUUGAUUCAAUUUAAGCCUUCAUCCUAAAUGUACGUGUGAGGAUAGACCUAAAUAUUUUUAAAUUAGACUCCAAUUUAAUAUCUCAAAGUCUAGUGUAAUUAAGCCCUAUGCUUAUAUGUUAGAGCUUAAUUAUGUCUCAUAUUGAGUGAAAUAUUAACUAAAUCCUAAUUAUAUAUAUUAGGAUUAGUCAAAAUUUGAUUUAAAUUAAACUCUAAGUAUAUGUGUUAGAGUCUAAUUCAGCUUCAUACGGGUUCACCAUGAGAUGAAAUAUCAACUAAAUCCUAAUUAUAUAUAUAUAAGGAUUAGUCAAAUUUAAAUUAAACUCUAAGUGUAUGUAUUAGAGUCUAAUUCAAUUUCAUUUAUUUGAACUCUAAGUAAAUGUAUUAGAGUUCAAUUGAACUGAUUAGGUGAAACCUAAUAGAUGGUUUGAUCAAUUCUAAACAAAUAUUUUAGAAUUUGAUCUAAUAUGAAUGUGAUAACAAUAUGACUCUAGCUUAAUAUGCUAGAGAAUUGGAUUAAAAAGAUUUGCCCUUAACAAAUUGGUAGAGCUUGGUUUCAUAUUUGAUCUGAUAGGCAUGAUUUAAGGUCUUGGUUUGGGUUAGAUUUUUGGGUUUGAUGUUGGUCUGAAUUGGUUUUCAAUUUAGAUUUUAUUCGAUUUGGGCAUUUUUAUGAACCAGUUUGGAAUUCAAACUUGGGCUAGGUAUAGCUUCAAGUUAUGGUUCAAUUCUCGGAUGGAUUCAUUCAUGGUCCAAAUUUGGGUCCAUAUAGUUGCAUUCAAACAUGGACUAGAUUCAGGCCUACAUGGUAUGGACUCAAGUUGAGGCCUGAAUUAAAUUUAAGUUCUGGAUAAAGGCAUAGGCCCAGUUUAGGUCCGUUUAAUAUGGAUUCAGGUUGAGGCUUGAAUUACAUGUGGGCUCGGGCUCAAUUUAGGCCCGUAUGGCAUAAGUCCAAAUUUUCUUUUAAGCAAGCCAUAGAAUUGGGCCCAGAUUUAUGUUUGGGCUGAACUUGGGUCAUGUUGAGCUUGGGUUAUGAGAUUUGAGGUGAGAACGGGCUUGGUCCAUUGUUUUGAGGUGGUUAAUUUGGGAUCAUAUGAGAUUGUAAGAUUCAGAAUCAAAUUCAUUGCUUAAAAAUUUCGAAUGCAUUUUUUUAUUUGUCAAAUUCUCAGUCAUUAAUCACAUAAAAUGUCCAAUGCAAUCUCAAUUUGGUCUAAUUUGGCCAAAUCGAAAAAUUCAACUUUGGAUAGAAUCAAAGGGUUCGAUUAUUUUUCGAACAUCCCACAGUUCUUCCAAUAAAAGGACGAUCAAAAGAAUAUUAAUCGAUAACCCGAUUAAUUUUCUUUUGUCUCCUCAUUAUAGGAGAAUUAAGAGAGAAUUUUUCUUUUUAUCUCCUUUGAAAAUACAAGACAACAAAGAUAGAUAAUUCUUCUUUGUCUCUUUUACAUUCAUGGGACAACUAAGGUGGGAAAAUCCCUUCCUUGCCUCCCUUUUUGUAACAAAGCUUCCUCUCUCUUUUGUAAUUAGAGAAGUAAUCUCUUUCUCUCUCUCUUUUGAUAAUAUACUUUUUUUUUUGCAAAGAGAAGAGCACCGCUCUCCCUCUUUCGAUAAUGCUAUAUUUUUUGUAAAGAGAAGAGCACCGCUCUUUCUCUUUUAAUAACACAUUUUUUAUAAAGAGAAGAGCACCGCUCUUUCUCUAAGUUCGCUGUCGAAAGAUAUGUCUCGGGCAUUCCGUCAAACAAUUGGUGGACGUGAACAGAUGAGGUCGUCGGGCUUCAACUCGUCGGAGCCGUUGAUGAUGACCAUGAACAGCGUGUCGCUCUGCACCUCUACACUGCUCGAUGGCUGCCGGUUCCAAGGAAGUUGACGUGGAUGAUCUCUGCGGCGAGCCCCGCGAGCUAGGAAGUCGUGUGCGACUUUGUAGAUGCUGACGUAGACCUUCUGGGCGACGAGCACGAAGUCGCAGUGCUCGUUUGCUCAGCCCAUAACUCAGCUUCUUCAGCCUCGUCGUGAUCUUGUCAAAGUAGACCGACUCUUGCCGCCCGUCUCGUUUCGUUUGGGAAUUUCGUCGAACAGGUGGAGGGGGUGGAGAUAUGUAGAUGGAGACGCGGCGGAGCUCGGUGGAGACGCGGCGGAGAUGCGACGGCUUCGGUGGAGACGCGGCGGAGAUGCGGCGGCUUCGGUGGAGACGCGGAGGCGCUCAGCGGAGCUUGGUGGAGACGCGGCGGCGCUCAGCGGAGCUCGGUGGAGCUUGGCGGAGGCACUCAGCGGAGCUCGGUGGAGACGCAGGGGCGCUCAGCGGAGCUCGGUGGAGACGCGGCGGCGCUCAGUGGAGCUCGAUGGAGCUCGGCGGAGGUGUUGACGAACUUGGCGUCGCGGCCCGCCGAGUAGGUCGCAGGCGAGGGCGAUCUCGAACCUGGCGGUGACGGCGAAUCCGGCGACGGCGCCGGCGAUGGGCUUGCGGCACGCAGCCAUGGCGGCGACAGCGUCGGCGGCGGGGUCUUUAACGUCGCCCUUGAAGACAUUCUCGUCGGCGGUGAGGUCGACGCCGGAGCAGAAGGCGCGGCUGUGCCCGGCGAGGACCACGGCGGAUCCAUAGGGUCGCCGCUCCACUUGAGCAUUUCGUCGAGCACCUUGUCGGAGGCGAGCUCGCCCGUGGCGUUGUAGCAGUUUUGCUUCAGGGUCUCCUUGUGGUUGGAGAGGAUGGCGUUGUGAAGCUUCGCCCGGAUCCCGUGGGUGACCGAAACCCUGGUGCGGUCGACGGAGGUCCCUGCGGCGAAGCGCGGGGAGAGGGCGUGGUUCGCGGCGUUGGAGUCGUCGAGGGCAUCGAGCUGCGUCUUGAUGGAGUGGGCAGUGCGGAGGAUCGCGGCGAAGCUCGGUGGAGCUCGGCAGAGGCGCUCGGCAUCUCUGGCGUGGAGGAGGGAGAAGACGAGGUGCGCGUCGAGGAGGCGGAGGGUGGCUGACCAUGCGGUGGAGAUGGGACGCGCACAAUCGGCGAGGCGGGUGACGCAGAGGGGGUCGAGCAGAGAGAGAGAGAGAGAGAUCUGAGAUCUUUUACUUCUCUUUUCUCUUUUUUUUUUCUUUUUUUUUUCUUUUUUUUUUUUAGGAGGGAGAGAGAUAGAGAGAUCUGAGAUCUUUGUCAUUGAUUGAUGCUAUAUCAAUGGAAAAACUACCUUUUUUUUUCUUCUUUCGUGAACAGGGGAAUAGUAUGGGUUUUUUUUUAUUAGGAAUAGGUUUGAGAGUUCAAAAACUGUGUCCUCUUUUUCUUUUCUCAUUGAGAGAUAUUUAUGGGACUAGUCUAACUACCCGGGAGAACGUGCGUAUGGACGUGCGUAUGGUGAGGUUUGUGGGAAGUUACGAUGUAGGAUCAUGGGAUCAUAGGUAUUAAAUUGCAUAUUAGUCCUUCCCAUUUGUUUAUAUUAUACCUUAGUUAAAAUAACAGAAUAUUAUAUGUUUGAAGGAGCAUCUUGCAAAUAUAUGAAAGGGAAAUGACUAAUUUGCUAUUUGUAAUACCCAUUCAUGCCUACAAGAACAUCCCACUUUUUGUAAUCUAUGCACCUGGUGCAUGGAUUAACCUAUGCACCAGGUUCAACAUUUGAACUCAAAUUUCUCCAUGCACCUAGUGCAUGGAUCAUCUCAUACACCAUUAUUCAAAUUUUCUCUCAUUCUACCUUUUUUCUUUGUCCUUUUUUUUUUUUUUUUUUUUCAAGCAGAAGACGGCAUANNNNNNNNNNNNNNNNNNNNNNNNNNNNNNNNNNNNNNNNNNNNNNNNNNNNNNNNNNNNNNNNNNNNNNNNNNNNNNNNNNNNNNNNNNNNNNNNNNNNNNNNNNNNNNNNNNNNNNNNNNNNNNNNNNNNNNNNNNNNNNNNNNNNNNNNNNNNNNNNNNNNNNNNNNNNNNNNNNNNNNNNNNNNNNNNNNNNNNNNNNNNNNNNNNNNNNNNNNNNNNNNNNNNNNNNNNNNNNNNNNNNNNNNNNNNNNNNNNNNNNNNNNNNNNNNNNNNNNNNNNNNNNNNNNNNNNNNNNNNNNNNNNNNNNNNNNNNNNNNNNNNNNNNNNNNNNNNNNNNNNNNNNNNNNNNNNNNNNNNNNNNNNNNNNNNNNNNNNNNNNNNNNNNNNNNNNNNNNNNNNNNNNNNNNNNNNNNNNNNNNNNNNNNNNNNNNNNNNNNNNNNNNNNNNNNNNNNNNNNNNNNNNNNNNNNNNNNNNNNNNNNNNNNNNNNNNNNNNNNNNNNNNNNNNNNNNNNNNNNNNNNNNNNNNNNNNNNNNNNNNNNNNNNNNNNNNNNNNNNNNNNNNNNNNNNNNNNNNNNNNNNNNNNNNNNNNNNNNNNNNNNNNNNNNNNNNNNNNNNNNNNNNNNNNNNNNNNNNNNNNNNNNNNNNNNNNNNNNNNNNNNNNNNNNNNNNNNNNNNNNNNNNNNNNNNNNNNNNNNNNNNNNNNNNNNNNNNNNNNNNNNNNNNNNNNNNNNNNNNNNNNNNNNNNNNNNNNNNNNNNNNNNNNNNNNNNNNNNNNNNNNNNNNNNNNNNNNNNNNNNNNNNNNNNNNNNNNNNNNNNNNNNNNNNNNNNNNNNNNNNNNNNNNNNNNNNNNNNNNNNNNNNNNNNNNNNNNNNNNNNNNNNNNNNNNNNNNNNNNNNNNNNNNNNNNNNNNNNNNNNNNNNNNNNNNNNNNNNNNNNNNNNNNNNNNNNNNNNNNNNNNNNNNNNNNNNNNNNNNNNNNNNNNNNNNNNNNNNNNNNNNNNNNNNNNNNNNNNNNNNNNNNNNNNNNNNNNNNNNNNNNNCCAGCAGACAAUUUAUUAUGGCCUUCCUAAAGCUAGCGCUUUACGGUUGAGAAGUGUUGCCUUAGCCGCUUGCGAGGCCUAUUCUUUGCCUGCCAUUCACGUGCCGCCUACGUAUUUCAUGAGUGACCACCACGAAGGGUCUGCAAGGUCCUGCGCAUCCUGGGCCUCAAUUCCCUGUUAGUUUUCUAUAUGCGUGGAUUGGUCUUCAUUUUGAACAGACUUAUUCUAGAAAGGUGAUCAGCGAUAAUAUCAAAAACAUCGCCGGCUUACAAAGCCCUCCUCAAAUGAUAUUUUUUAUGGAUGCGGCGGCUUCUCCUUUUAAUGCUAAGCGAGCACGAAUUCAUCUCAGAUCGAGCGCCCAUUUUGUGUGGCGUCCCCUGCCAUAUUCUUAUUCUUUUGUUAAUGAUGGUUGGCUUUAUGAUGCAAAAUUGACUACAGGAGAGUGUAAAUAUCCAAAAGAGGUCAAUGAAUAUAUAAUUUCUAUCAGACAGAGUGUGCUUCCACUUCGUUUGGGGAACAAACUGCACACACAGCCAUAUAAUCCUCAUCGUUUUGCUCGACAAUUCGGCUUCGAUCAAUCUUUUCCUGAAAGUAUCAAUGUUCCUAAAUUAGCCAACCAUCUUGGGACACUUGCUGGGUGUUGGAAUCAUUUUCUGCGAUAUGGGACUUCUACUAACUAUUUUAUACCAAAGAAAGACCGGAUUGGCAAACCGACUUUACAUUAUGCGCGUUGGUGGUCUAAUAGCGUGCAUUCGAGCUUCAAGCAUGGAGUGGGCUAUUUACUAAAUGCAGAUGAUCCCCGCAAGAAGAAGAAAAAAGGUGUUAUCAUUUUAGAGAAAAAUUCAACUUUUGAAGGGAGAUUGAUUCUUCAGAUGUUAUAAAUGAAAGAGUACUAAACUCUCUAGAACCAGAGGGAAAGCAACUUGAUUUAUUUCCAGAAUAUGAUCAUAUCCAAGCUGGUCCUUCCGAUGACUCUCCUCAAUUUGAAGUUCUCGGCCUCAGUUUUCCAAUUCACGAAGAUGAGAAAUCUAAGGUAUGCUCAUUAACAAUUUCAAUUAUCUUCUCUCUACUUUUUAUUUUUUGUGUGCUGAACUUCUUUUGUUUUAUGGUAUUUGUAGGAAGUGCGCAUUAUAGAUUCGCCUACCGGAGGUGAAAUGCAUUGGCAAGAUUCUACAACGAGGACAAAGGUGCGACGUAGAAUCCGUAUGAUUCGAAUUUUGUUGGUUCAUUCUAGCAUCCUUUCUUUCCAUGUAUUAACUAUAUAUAUGUAUUUAUAUUUUUACAUAGAUAUGCAAUGUGGAACCAUCUUUAAGAAGCCCAAAAAAUCUACCAUUGGAUGCUUCAACUAAAGUAGCUCAUGGAAAGCUUCCCCUUACUGUGUCUUCAAUAAUAGGUGACUCUUUUCAUUCAUAUUCUAUUUAUAAUUAUCUGCACAUGAUGUACGCCACAUUUAUCCUUUAUAUAUAUAUAUAUAUAUAUACAUAUAUAAAUAUAUAUAUACAUAUGUAUAUAUGUAUAUAUAUGUAUAUAUAUAUAUAUGUAUAUAUGUAUAUAUAUGUAUAUAUGUAUAUAUAUGUAUAUAUAUACAUAUAUACAUAUAUAUAUAUAUAUACAUAUAUAUAUAUAUGUGUAUAUAUGUAUAUGUAUAUAUAUACUAGUUGAGUGUACGUGCAACUGCACGUAACAAUUAUUUUAAUUUAUUUAAAUCAAUAAAUAUUUGUAAAUCAUAUUUAUUCAAAAAUUUAUAAAUAUUUUUUAAAUUUAUAUAUUACAUUUGAGCAGAAAUUAAUGUAAAAAAAAAUAUAUUUUGAAAUUAAAUAGAAAAAUAAAAUAUGUUAUCUUAAAAAGAAAAGAUAUUUUGAAAUUCGAAAAUUAAUAUAAAAAAGAAAAAAUAAAAUCCGUUAUCUUUUAUAGGAUUUUCAUACCAAAAAUAUUUUAAAAAAGAUAUUUUAAAAAUAAAUUGAAAAAUAUCUUUUAUAGGAUUUUCACACCCGUAAUUUGUUAUAAAAAACUUACUUUUAAAAUUAAAUAGAUAAUACCUAAAAAAGAUAUUUUAAAAUAAAAUAGAAAAAUAUAAGUAAUCGGUUAUAGAGAACAUGCGUAUGCAUUAGGGUUUCUAUUUUUAUUCUUAUAUUUAAAAUUUUUUUUGUACGGAAUGAGGAAAAUGGGCGCUAAUUUUUCCGCCGAAAUAUGGGUCUGUCGACAGACCCAAAUUUGAAUAUACGUGUUUUUAUAUAUAGUAUAGAUAUGUGUAUAUAUGUAUAUAUAUGUAUAUAUAUAUAUAUACAUAUGUAUAUAUAUAUAUAUAUAUUUUUAACCGAUAGAAUCACAAAUCGGAAGGAGUGGGUCUAUUGAGGAUGACGUGUCUCUAUAUGAUGAUGAAUUGGUUCCACACCUUCGCCGCCAAAGGUAAUUUUAUUUUUUUUUUUUUUUUGGUUAAAUCCAUAUGCCUUCUAUUAGUCUUAAAUUAAGCAUUUGAUUCUCAACUAAAGAAGGAGGUAAGAUAUGGAUAAUAAUGUGUAAUUUUUCGUUAGAAAUCUGUAGCCGCAAAAAUUUUAUAAAUCGGAGCUAUAACGAAAAUGUUAUGGCCCAUUUACAUUUUGGUCCCUGUAUUUACAAAGCAGUCCCUGCAGUUUCAUUUCAGUCCCUGCAGCUUCAUUUUCCUUUGAUUUUUUGAUGCAAAUCUAUAUUCUCGGUCUUUCUUUUUGGUCUAAAAUUGUUCUCAAGGAAUUCAUGGCUGUAACAAUACAUAAGUUAGGAUUACAACGGCAAUGUUAUAACCCGUUUUACAUAAUACUCCUUAUUUUUUUGUUUUACAAAAUAGUCCCUGCAGCAUGUAUCUUCAAUUUUGCUCCGAAUAUCAGCAUAUAGUCUUUUUUCUCACAGGAUCCACUCAUAGAUGUUGCAGAUAUUGGAGUGUCAUCUUUCAGGGAAGCUUGCCCGACUCAUCAUGAGGUAUAUAUGUAUUUAUCAAAAUUGUCCCAAGUUUUAUUUCAUAUCGCUCCCGUAGUCAUACAUUAAGCGCAUUUACUAUUUCUUUUACACCACAACUCCAUUGUUUAGGAUGAGGGUGCCAAAGAAGAUAAUGACAGUAUAGUAGAGGAAAGCAAAAAUGAAGCUAUAACAGAAUCGCCUUCACUGGGUAAAAGAGAACGAGUCGUUGAUUUUUCGACUAUAGAGGCGCAUAAGAGAGCUCGUUUGGAGACCGAUUUAAAAACAACUAGUAAGGCCCCAUUUUUUCUUGUCAAAGUUUCAUAAAAAGCAGUAUGCCCUAUGAAAGCAUCCCUUUUAUAUAUUUUUAUUGUCUCUUUUUUUUGUGCGCAGGUUUUCCGGUAGAGUCAAAAUCAAAUAAUGAUCCAGAAGAUGCUUUAUCGCCUUACGGCGACGAAGUGAACUACGAGCCUACACCUUCACCACCCUGAAGCUCUUGAAAAUAAUGAUAUGGUGAGAUUUUAUAUAUUCAAACAUUUCUUCUUCUCAUUUUCUUUCAUAUUUUUUAUUAUUUUCUCUUUUUUAUAGGAUGUACCACUUGACGAGAAUGUCGGUAUUCACUUGGAUAGUGGUGCAGGAGAUUCCCGAAGCGAGAUACCUAUUGUAGCCCAGUCAUUUUUGAUCGAUCGCAUAAUGGAUACUAUGAAGACAUUUAAUCGUCGCAAAUUUAGAUCAGCUCGAGACGAAGUAUCAAAAUAUUGCCAAUGUUUAUCUUCACUUGGAAUUGAUAUAUCUGAAUUGGAAAGGCGUAUAAAACCUAUAUUUGACCAUGCAGAGGCCAUUGAAGAAGUAGAAUCAAGUCCAAAUUUUAUUUCAGUUGUUCGACUCAUGAAUGCUGAUGAGAAUCUGGCACUAAGAAAAAGAAAACUUGCUUCCCAUAUCAGUACAAAGAGUUCUCUCCUUCAAGGUACUGAAAGUGUCUCUUUAGAGCUUCAACAAACCAGAGAGAAAAUAAAAGAACUAGAAGAGAGUAUAUUGCAUUUGAAAAGUACAGAAGCGGAAUUGACACUUAGACUUGAAGUGGCUGAUGACUCCUUAAAGAAACUAAUACCGACUGAAGAAGAACUACAAAAGGAUGUCGUUGAUGCAGAAAAGGAAUAUGCUGCAGUCAUUGAAGAUUGUAAUGAUUCUAAAGAAUCCACUGGUCUUCGAGGAUUAAUAGAGCUGUUUGAGGAGCGUCGUCAAAUAUUUGAAAUUUGAUUUCUUCUUUUCUUCUCUUUGUUAUUUUUUGUUUGUCACGAAUGUUAUUUUUGUUUGUCACUAAUAAGAAACAAUAUUUUGUAGUCUCAAUAGUUUGAAUGUUUUGGAUUAUGCUUGAGUAUUUGAUCUCCUCAUCUUUUUUAUAUUGUGUUGCAUUGUGACAAUGAUUAUCUUGUGAGAAUGGCUUUGUUUAUUUUGCCUCGAUCACCACGCAUAACCAACUCUUAAUUGGGUUAGCAUUCUGUCAUCCAAAUAAAUUCUAGAUAGGUACUCUAUCCCGACUUUUAUUUAUAGGUCUCGAAGAAUUUUCUCAAAACAAAGAUCCCUAAUUUGCCACAGUUAAUAUUUCGUAUGCUAGUGGCUCAAAUCCAUAUUUAGAGACAUGGUUAAACUAAAUUAAAUUUUCAAUGCUCAAUUUAAAAAUAUAGCGAUCAUAUUAGAAUGCUCAGUUUAACGACAUGGCAGUCGAAUUACAUCAGAUGCUCAGUUUAACGACAUGGCGGUCAAAUUACAUUAAAUGCUCAGUUUAACGACAUGGCGGUCAUAUUACAUCAGAUGCUCAAUUUAACGACAUGGCGGUCAAAUUAGAUUAUAUGCUCAGUUUAACGACAUGGCGGUCAUAUUACAUCAGAUGCUCAGUUUAACGACAUGGCGGUCAAAUUACAAUUAAAUCUCAUUAAACGACAAUUUUUGGCGGUCAUAAUUACAUUCUGAACUGCUGGGGAUAAAUUCACAAUUUAAUCCCGAAUCCAAUUGUGACCCAUAUUGUCUAAACAACAUUACAUCCACUCUUUUUUUUCUUCUUUUUUUUUUUUUAAUCCCAAUCGGAUUGGGCCUAGAUAGAUAUAUAUUGCCAUAUACUUAGGGCUGAGAUAAUUUCGGCUUAAUACCUACCCAAAUUGUAUAUAGGCUGGAUUUCGGGUGUAUAAUUAUGCGGCCCAAUGAUUUGGGCUUGUGCUUGUCUUCUUAUAAGUUCUUGUGACCAUGAAUAAAACAAUUGGCCCAUCAAAAUAACUCAAAUUCAAUUUCCCAACAUCUCUUCUAUAAUACUCAUCAACACCCUCACACAUUUUCAAAAUAUUUCUUUUUUUAUGCAUAAUCAUCUUGUAAAAACGACACAUUGAAUACUGCAUUGUACAAAUCAACACCUCACCUUUCCAAAAAGCAAAUAACGAUAAGCGCACAACCCGCUCAUAGCAUUCCACACAUAUAACAGGCUACACACAAUCCACAACAAUAUUGAUCGAAUAUCUUUCGCAUGUUUAACGCAUCUAAAACGACAACAACAACUCCCCAACAUUGAACCACAGGGGUUAGUUUUAUUAUAUCGCACAACACCCACAACUAUCAACAGCUUGAUAGAUUCAAAUUUUUUGGGCAAUUACUGAUUAAACUCAUCACUAUACGUUUUUUAAUCGUUGAACUGCUUAAUUCGCAAUGAAGCAAUUCAAUCUUCUAAAACCUGUAAACUAUCCUCAGUGCCAAACACCAAAGAGUAGUGUGUUCUGAUUGUGGGUUCUAUAAUUUCAUAGUCAAAAGCUCUAUAAUCGCAAUAACCAUCUUUUGAUUUUGACAAAAAUUUUCUUUAAAUUUUUACAAAGAUCUAUAAUGGCUUCACCAAUCCAUGCUUGCAUAUAUAUUGUAAAUAUCCGGCAUCAAUUUGUGUUAGCAACUCUAUGACUUUGAAAACUCUUAACGUUUUAUUAUCAAGAUAUAAUUCUCUUGGAACCCAAAUCAAUAUAUAAUAUUUUCUCUAAGAUUUACAACAUCAUCUGCUUUACUUUCCUAGUGAAUGCUUCACCCAUCUGAAAAAGAAUCUGUAGCACUAGAAUAAACUUAUCCCCCCUGGUAGAUUUGGACUUGAUAUACCCUAUCACAUCUGUUCCCCAAUAUUAAACGGCCACUAGCAUUGUAGAUUUCAAGGGUGAUGAUUAUUUCAAUGAUCACCGGUGAUUUGACAUGGGAGGAUGCAGUUCCUAUAGCAUAAUCAUAAUCAAUCUGUACAUUGUGGCCAAUAAUACCGCAAUUUUAAUUUUAGCGCCAUUUUUGCCCUUAUUAUUGCCACCCAAACACCCAAUAACAUUCAUGCAUGACUGUUAAUCCAUUGGUGAUAACAACAUUUAGCCAUAAUGAACAAAAGUAUUUGCGAUAAAGUUGAUUAUUAACGAAUAUAUCUCAUCGCUCUUUUCUAUUGCUGUCUGACUUUCUCUGCAGUAUUAUUAUCAUUUGAGAAAAUCGAAGAAAGUCUCUCCAAUCAUCUUCUAACGAUAUUACAACUUAGACUCCUUCGCUACUCUUUCUUGAUUUAAGUCUAGCCAGGAUAUAUAUUUUUCGAUUCGUAAAUUAUUGGACCUGCACCAUUGAGUGCGGAUCAGCAAUCUCUUAGGUCCAAUCUUAGCUAGGGUAAUACAUUGAACAUUCGGCAAACUAGGAAUUCUGAAGGAGUUGAAUAGUGACUCUGAUGAACUCUUCUACAACUUUUGUAGGAUUGUUGAGAGGCUUCACAAAUCACUGAGCAAGCAGAUAACUGGAAAUGAAAAUGCAUUACAAUGCCUUACUCUAUGCAAUGCUUCGAAUUUUGCAAUGCGAAGUUCUAGUAAGGGGAUGACCAUUGGAACCUUCCCACAGGUUCUAAAGGUUAAAGAUAAUUAUGAAUAAGUUUAAGAGUGAUCGAAUGUGAGAAGCGAGGAAGUGCGUUGCACUUUAGAAUGCAUCUUCUCAUUGUUAUCGGUAACCCUAUCGUACCGUACCCUAACAGCAGAAUCUGCAGCUGCGUGGCAGCAAGGCCAUUUUGGUCUUUUUACAUCUCCUACUCAUCCUUAUCCCUCCCAGCUCGACCCUGAGGUUGUAUUACACUUAGAAACUCAGGAAAAAACAGGUUUUAGCUAUCCUCUUUCUCUCUCUAGGGUUUGGAGCUCAAGAGAGCUUGGUGUAGUGGUUUCGGCUUUUUCGACGUGAUUUCCUUGCGCUAGCUGGUUUGGUGGGAUUUGGAGGAGCUCUCUUGUUGUGAACUGUUGGAGGUGAAGGUUCUCUUGCUGCCCAACUUAGUUGGAACCUGAUUUGCAUUAAGGUAUGAUGGACUAAGCAACUUUUCUCUCUCUAGUUUCAUGGUAGUUGCUAGUAGUGGUUGUUGGAGCCGAUUUUGGACUCUUUGCUGGCAGCAGGUUGUGGCAAAUAUUUUAUCAUCUUGAGAAGGAUUAGGGUGCUGUGGAGUCUUCACUUUAGCUCAGGGAGGAGCUGAUUUGUGACUUAAUCAGGUAAUUAGUCCACUUAUAGAAGUUUUAGCAUGUUUGACGAGGUCGAGGUGUUGAUUUUGGAUGUAGUGAUCGCAGCAGCAGUAAAUGUCGCUUAGUGCUGAGUUUGGGACUCCGUAAGCUGAAUUGAAAGGUACUUUCAUUGGUGGUAAGUAGAAUUUGUAAUUGGAAAACUAAAUAGCUCAUAUUUUAACCUAUAUUGGAUAUAUGUUUAUGAAGUAAAGGCUGUUUUGUGAUGUUAUUCGCAGCGUAUCGCGAUUGUGGACUGAUUGGUUCUUGGCUGUAUUUGAAGGCUUUCAGAGGGUUAAACUUAGAGUUUAAUCGGAUCCAAAACAGGGAACUAAGCUACUCCACGAUUUAAGGUGAAGUAGUAGCCGAUUUUGGAUGCUUUGUUCAUAGUUGACGCAGUUUUUGGAGCUAUGUCCACAGCAGAUCUUGUGUUUACUUGAGCUAAUUUUAAUACUUCUUUGGGCAGGUCUGAGCUAAGUUUUGAGAACACCUAGCUUCCUUAUUGAGCUCACUCAAUUUCCUUUGUUCUAGGUAUGAACUAACACCUAGUAUGCAUUAAUAUGUGAGGUUCCUAAUUGUUCAACUGAAAGUUGAUUUUAACGUGUUCUAGGGGAUUGAGAGACGUUGGACUUGGUUGAUCGAGAGCUUCCCUUAAUAGGUGGGUCUGGCUUUCCCGAAAUGGAUGAAUUCCCUCUUUGUCUUCUUUGACAUUUGAGUUGAAGUUAUUUUAUACUUAUGUGAAUAUAUGUAUAGUUUAAGGCAUUGAGACAUGCACUGAUAUGUAGAUCAUAUCAGAACCGAUAGUAUUUUUAAAUGGUAAUGAAAGAUUCAUGACUUGUCCAUUCUACAUGGUUACCUGAUAAGUACUAUGAAUUCAUGAUACUAGUAGCUUGCAUAUGCAAUUUGGCUUGAUGUUAUCCACGAGGAUAGAAUGGUAAAUUCGUGAAUGGACCAAUUAGUUCUGUUGAACAACAAAGAGACUGAUGUACUUAGGAGUGAGUUAUGCAAUGUUAUGCAACAAGUAUAAUGGCUAAACUCUGAAAGAUCAGGUAAAGGCUUGUGUUUGCAUAUGCAUUCCUAAUUGUAGAAUGAAUGGCAUGGAGGUCAUGUGAAAAGUAUUUUAUUGUUUAUAUUCCUUGCUUAUAUUACUCUGUUAGUUUCUGCAUUCACAUGAUAGAGUCAUAUUGUGGUAUAUAUUCUAGUAAGUAACUAGAAGUUUAUAGGAUGGCAUAAUUGAAUGACAUACAGAUGAAUAUAAUCUAGUAGAUAACUAGAUUUAAAUAUGAUGACAUACUUGUAUAGUCAAGUAGAGGUGAUUGUUUCAUAUUUGUGUGCGUCAAGUAAUAGAAGUUUAUACUGAACUUCAGGUUAUGUGCCAUGAGUCUAUGAAUAGAACCUUAGUAAACCACUUUCCUUAUGUGUAAGGAGUAGUGAGAGAUUGUGAAUGAUUGACCAGGUAUAGUCUGAUAGAAUCACUAGUGUGAUGUAAAGCCUUAACUUGUCAAGUUAUAUUAGUUGUUAGUAGAAUCAUAUCAACAAGUUGUUGAUAGUGACUUAUGAUUGGGUACUACAGUGCCGACCUUGGGUCGAGUGGAGAUAUUUGUACCCUGGACUAUAGCUUGCAUGCCAAUACGCUCUUUCGUACCUGCUUGCGGGGGUCGCGCCCCCCAAGCCCCGCGUUCCGGAGUGGCUUGAGUUGAGAUACCAUGUCAGGGACAUGAUACUGUUGUGAGAUUGGUACUAUGGACUACGGCUUGCAUGCCAUUGUGCGCGUUCGCACACGCUUGCGGGGUCGCUGCCCCCAAGCCAGCACUCCCGAACAGCUUAGCGACAGAUGCUCGCAAAUGUACGAAGUGAGCGCCGAAGUGGAAUGCCGUGGGGAGUGUACACUACCACGGGGCCAUUAGGCACGGCGCGGCUUGAACUUACCUUGUGUAAGUUUGUUGGAAAUUGGGUUAUGUCAAGUACUUCAACCUUAGCUGGACAUAGUAGUAAAGUUACUUUAUGUCUUUGGUUAAGUGAACUUAUUGAUGAACAUACUAAAAAGUUGACAUCUAAAGUGAGCUUAGUGAUGAAUAACCUAGAAGUUGACAUAAUGAUUGGUUAGCAACACAAUGAAUGACAUUAUGUUUCUUUCUUGCUAAUGCAAAAGGUAAUUACAUGAUAUCAUCUGUAAUUUCAGUAAAGGGAAUUACCUUGCAUACAAUCAGGUAUUUGUUUGGUUAAAUUGUCAAGUAAUUUGAUUGAUAGAAUCUAUCAUGAUAACUGAUACCUGCAAUCUAUUGAUGUUUAUUUAUUGUUGAGCAAUAGCAUGAGUAGUUUAUUUUCAUACCUGUUGCAUGUAAUUGCCUAUUGCAUUAUCUGCAUUUACUUGUUUAUACAUUGUUAUUUACUCAUGCCACAGUUGACCUAGUGGUGUACUUCGCCACCCCCGGCGGAUUACCCACUGGGAACUAUUGUUUAAUAGUUCUCACACCCUCUUUAUUGUUGUUUUUACAGAGCCUUCCACCGCGGGAAAGGCUAGGGUUCUUGGCGAGGGGUCUGCGGCUAGCUAGAGCCUUUUGGACGUGUACUAGAUGACCUCCACCAGUUUAUGUAGUUUAGUACAGAGAUGUAUAUUAAGUUUUGUAAAUUGUACUUUAUUCUUAUUUCCCGUAUUAAGGUUUGGAUUGUAUAAGUUAAACUUAAAAGUCUUGCUCUGAUUACCUGGUUAGAAUUAUAUGCUUUUACUAUCUGGUUGUAGACGCCUUGUGUAUACUUGAGUCGGGAUGUACACGGCGGGUCUGUGCACGCGACCGGAUAUGCUUCCGUUGGUACCCGGGCGUGACAGAUUAUAGUGGUAUCAGAGCCUAGGGUUGAGUUUUAGUGGACCUAGUAAAUCUUAGGCCGGUUGAACGAUCAGGAUUAGGAGCGUGAGAAACGGGGUCUUUUGCGACUAUAUUGAGCGAAAGUAUUAUGAUUGGGUCAUACUUAUAACUCCAAAAUUGUUGGAGUUCGAUUGAAAUGAAUAACCUCUAUGUCCUUCCAAAAUCACGUUGGCGGCCGACAAUGUGAUAUUGGGAAAUAGUGGGCGGUCAUUUCAUUACUUUCGCAUGAUUAGAAUUUUACAAUUUUGAGUGGGGCUACGAUAGCAUGGGUUGUUUUAACCUGUGCCUAUUUUGUUUGUUGCAGCUUGCAAUGUCAAAGAUGCACCCUACGGCAACUGAUGCAACUGAGCGAGAAAGACAUGAACCCUCUGAAUCUAACGAGGUUCAGGAAUUAAAAGAGCAGCUAGCUACUCUAGUUGGAGUGGUAGAGCGACAAGCGAAUGUGACGCUACUUCAAGCCGAUGCUUUGCGCCGACAGGAUGAAGGAAUCAGACGGUUGGAGAACCUGUUGAUUCAACAGACGGCUGAUCUCAAGAAAUUCCACGAGGUUUCAGAUUGUACUUUGACCGUAAGAAAAGGUGUGGAAUGCACUGAAAGAGCCAAAGAGGCUACUGAGGGCGAUCAAUUAUAUGUCGGAGACUCAUCAAGAAAAUUAAAGAAGAAUCAACCUUCGAAACGUGAUUCUUUUUCUAAGCAAAGAAGAUUGAGGAGACGAUUACCUCGGCCAUGUGUAAUAUGUGGAGGUCCGCAUGUUCCCCCAAAGUGUCCUCAGCGGAAAGGAAAGUGUUUUGUAUGUGCUCAGGAGGGCCAUUUUCGCUCUGAGUGCCCAAGAAAUGAUAUGUUGACUAAGGUAUCUGCACCGACUUUGUUGCAAAAAGUACCCAGUGAAGGUACGCCGACGAAAUCAAAGAGUCAGAUACGACGGCAGGGAUAACUACUGCAGGUAGUACUUUAUGCAAUGUCCCUAUGAUUCGAUAUGAUCAUAAUGAUGGCUUUAGUUGCAUUUCUGAUCGGCUGUUUACCGAGUUGAUUCGUAUCAAUUCCCUCCUUAUUGCAUGUAGGAUUGAUUGAAUAGAAUAAUCUCUUUGACGCCCUGCCUAUUGAGAAGGCUUAGCAGAUGCCAGCAAAUGUAUUGGCUUAUCUAUGAGAUACUUGUACCACGGGUUGUGCGAACUAAAUUGGUUCGCCUUGGAACUUUGAACUUUUUGCAAUGCAUUUUGAAGGGUUUAACCUCGCUGAUUGCAAGAAUGAUCAUUUUUACCUAAAAUUAGGUAAUUAUGGAACGGUUGGAGCUUAUUUGGCCGAUAAGAUAAAUGUGAGAAUCCUCGAAAUGACGAAUCAUUUUGAGAAGUGGCUGUGAUAUUUUUGAUCAAGUCACAAAUUGUGAACUUGACGAAUAGCGAAUGUUUUAUGCCUAGUGCUUCAUGUUGGUGAAGUAAUUUCACUUGUGGUAAGAUUAGAUGAGCUAUUCAACUAUGUGUCGGAUAUCGUGAUUUCAAUUGGAAACACGAUUAAUUGAGAUCUGUGAAUCUUUUGACCAGCUUUUCGUAUUGGUGCAUGUUAUGGAUUAAGUAGCAAUUUGGGAAGUUGUAGUCUUCUGUGAUAGACAAGGUUAUGAAGGAUUUAUCCAGUUGAUUGUUCUGUGAAUCCUACAAGGUAGAUAAUGAUUGAUUGAGAAGAUGAAUUAAAAGGAUUGAGAUGAAUCUCUCCUAAUGGAACGAAGCAUCUUGGAAUAUUGAGAAAGAGAUUAUCCAGCUACUUAUUUCUUUCUCUUCUGAUCCUAGUUAUGUAUAAUUGGAACUAAGCUUCAGGGAACAAACUGCAUGAGGUUAGUCUUUGGGAAUUAAUAUCUUGACUAAUAGUUAUAUUGGGAUAAAUCUCAUACAGUUUGAAAGCAAAUGAUGAUGCUCUAAUGGUGGGUUAACGAAAGGUUUUGUUGAGAUUUCCUCCCUACUUAUGGAAAAAUAUGUAGAGUAACAGCAAUAGAAAACUUAUGGGUGAAGUAUAAAUUGAUUCCUUUCUAUUACCUUAAUUGGAUUUGGAACAAUGAGUACUUUGAGCCUCACACUCUCAGAACAGUAUCAAAGAAAGUGUAUCUGAAUUGAUUUAAUUAUAGAAGUAAAUAGUGAUGUCACAAGUGAAUUUGGGAGAAGCAAAGCUCCAAUUUGAGCUUGCAUAGCAUUGGAUGGAAAUCGUGCUUGAAUACAUGAAGACAAUCUCUUGGUGAUGAUUUGGUUAUGCUCUACUUAUGAUUAAUGUAAAGGGGAAACAGUAAAGUUGUAAAGAUAACAUUAAUGGAAUCCAUAUGACUUUAGAUAUUGACGUGGAGCAGCAUCCAUUUAUGCGAAUUGAGAUUAUCGCCUAGUGACAGGAUGAAAGAUGAUACUAAAGUAUUGGGAUACAAUGCGGAUUAGCUAAUCACGAAUCCAUUUUUUUGUGGAUUGAUAAACAUAAUCAAUUCCAAUUUGUCAGUGGAGGGUUACUAUCAAAGCUAACUAGUUCACUAUCAAGCUAGUUAUAAUUGAGGAAUAUAGUAACUACAAGGUAUAUGAGAGAGUUAUGACUACUGGAUGAUGCAAGUUAAUCACUGAUAUGUGAUCAUCUUGUAAAGCACAAGUUGUACAGGAGAGAUAACCGAUGAAGCCUAUUAAGGAAGAAAUAAACCCCUGCAGAUGAGCAAGAUGAGAAGGGUUGGAUUUUAUCCUCGAAUUAUUAAAAAAAAAAAAAAAAAAGUCGAAAUGGAACUUCAUCCAUUAAAAUCAUGGAUUCCAUGGAUGAAAGAAGAGUUUUUUUUAUUGCAAUGGCAAAAAGUGACAUGAAUUCAUGAACAAUAAUGGAAUGGAUUUUCCAUCCUUUUUACAUGAUAUUGGACGAGGAUUCAGUUCUAGUUUCGCGGACGAAACCUAUUUCUAGGAGGGGUGAAUGUAAUACAUUGAACUUCGGCAAACUAGGAAUCUGAGGGUUGGAAUAGUGAUUGGAACUCUUCUACAACUUUUGUAGGAUUGUUGAGAGGCUUCAGCAAAUNAGGUAUGUCGCAUGACAUGUGAAUCAUUGUUAGUUAUCUUGGGCAUAUGGGCAGAUUGAUGAUAUCCUAGCCCUUUCGUGUGUACUGUUCGGCCAUUUGGAAGCACGACUCUUUUUUGUGGUGGAUUCCACAUUUUCUGAAAAAAAUUUCGAUUGGCUCAUGACCUUCUUAUAGAAAAUCCCGAUCUAUUUAUCAUGUCUUUGAGAUUUUUCGGAAAGUAUUUUGGCAUGACAUCUUCAUAUAUUUCCUCAUCAGAGUUAUCAAGUUUGAUAAGAUCAGAGGGUUUAUAAUCAUUUGACUUGUAAAAAAGGAUCCCUUUCUUUAUUCUUUCUUUUUCUUUGACUUUCUCAACUUGAGGAGGUACAAAGAAGGUUUUUAAAUCAUUCACUUUUGUUGGCUCACUUAUGUGAAGAGAUUUUAUAUGUCCAUAUGGAACUCUAGUAAUAUUUAAGGAAUCUUCAAUUAAUUCAGGAAUUCUUAUGAACAUAUUUGACUCAGAUGUCGGGAAAAUCUCUUCAUCUUCUGAUGAGUCUUCACCCCAGGGCAUGUUUAACUUGAAAGAAAAUGUUUCCAACAUUUUCCUUAAUUGUUCUUCAUCACUUUCGAAGUGUGGAAUCACAUUUUCUUUAUUAUUCUCAAUUUUUAUCUUUCCCUUUGACAAAUUUUUAUCGCUCUGAACUUUACCCUCUUCAAGUUCGCGAGACAAUUUUAUAUCUUUUUCAGAUUCUGCGAAAUACCUCGCAUCUUCAUAUCGUACUUCAUGCACUCCAAAUGGGCGUAUAUCACCAUCAAUUCUGACUUCUUCUCCAUCCUUAAUAUAUUUCAUACAUUGAUGAAGAGUAGAGGGGACAACGUUAUACUCGUGCAACCAAGGCCGUCCCAAUAACGUUUAUACAAAGUAUCUGCAUUUAUCACAUAGAAUUUUACAUCGGUCCGCAAUGCUCCAAAUUUUAUAGGAAGAAUGAUCGACCCGAGAGCUUUUUGGCUAUGCUGAUUAAAGCCUUGAAUCAAAAUUUUUUCUGAGGACAGAUGAUCGACAUUCAGAGCUAAACUUUUCAAAGUUCUUAAAGUCAAAAUGUUGACUGAGGAUCCAGGAUCGAUUAGAAUACGAUUAAUCUUCUCUCCAUCGCUUGUCCCAGUCACAUAUAACGGCCUGUUGUGAUGAGCAGUUCCCAACAGCAUGUCCUCAUCAGUGAAAGUAACAUUGGCGAUAUGUCUGGAGUACAAUGCUUCUUUCAUAUUCAUCUCAGCAAAAUAAGCAUAAAAGGGCUCGGGGUUUUGUAAAGCGUAAAUGAGUACAUCCCGAAGUUCUCUGGACAUCAUCAGGGCGUCAUACACACUCAACAAGGCUGGCACUUUUCUUAAAUGGGAAAGUAUGUUAUACUCAAUCUUUGAUAACUUUCCUUGAUUUGAUGAAGUCGGUGCCUCUUCAUUUAUCUGAAUUUCUUUAUCUUUACCAUUUUGCGGCUGCCCUUGUCUUUCUGGUAACACCUUUCCAGACUUAAGCUUAAUUUGGAAAGAAUCCUCAGCUCGUUCAUCUUCCUUGGUAUUAGAGUCGACACCACAGGUAAUAGUUUGGCACGUUUCGACUCUAGUCUUUUCAUAAGUAUUCAACUUAUCAAGUAUCUCUUUUAAUUGCUCUUUCAUAUUUUUUAUUGCCAUAGCCACACAGUCUAUGUUUGUUGCUAGAGUGCGUACAUCAAUCUGCACUCUCCUCAAAUCAUUGUCUAUCUCGAGAAGACGAUAUUCGACUCUCCUUGCGUCGUUAUCCCUGCUGGGAGUAUUAUAUGCUCUCCAGGCACUAUCGCUAUCUUCACAUGCCACAGUUGGUUGUCUAACCAUAUUCCUUUGAUUUACAGAGUCUUCAGAUUGCUCUUCGGAGAUUGUUAUUACCCGACAUGACUCCUUGAGCUGUAAUUUAUUUUUUCUAUGGUCCCGAAGUUUCACGCAUACAUCAUAAGCAUGACCUCUCAUUCCACACCAAAAGCAACGCAAUUUCAUAUCAUCCAAAGCGUCAUAACAUGCUUUUCUGAAUUCUUCUGGAGUAAUGGAUUGCUGUUUCUCAAAUCGUGGGAGAUGUUUCUUCCAUCGUUGUCUUUUGGAUUCAGCAAUAGUCGGUUGAUCAAUUUUUGACUUCACCUUGUUCAUAGGUAAGUUCUGCAUCUUUUUCCAUUGGCGGCAAUUUUCCAAGGUGUGUCCCCAUAUGUUAUGAUAGGUACAGAACUCUGUCAGCAUAACUUUAUUCUUUUUUUCGUUAUUCUCCUUAACCAGAGCUUUAUUAUUUUGGUGAACUUCUGAUUGCUGGUUUAGGGUUGUAUUCUUCUUCUUUUUUAGUGAAGAUGACCCCGCAUUUCCUCUCAUCGACAGUCUUUUAAGCUCUUGAGCAAUUAUGUGUGCUUCAUAGAAACUUGCGUCGUAUUCGGCUUUUGUUGACUUUGAUUGCUCCGAGCCUUGCUUCUUAUCAUCUUCCUUUAAAUCAGCUUGCAUAGUUAUGACUCGAUAGGUCUCGACCCGAUAUCUUUUCGAUGCUUCAGUAACAUCGGUUUUGAGCAUAUCUAUGAUAGCUCUCAUUUGAAAAUCUAUGCCUUUUACACUACCGAUUAUUUCGUUCAUGUUCAUCUUUAUAACGUUAAUUUCAUUGUGCAGCCUCCUCAUUUCUCCCUCCAUUAUGAUUAAGCGACACUCCAUUCUAUACAAUUUCUUCAUUGGAUCAUGAUAAGCUGAAGUGUCGUAUAAUUCCAAAGGAUCAACAUAAGCAUUAUAGUUUGGUGUGGAUGUCUGUUGAUUUGCUCUCAGGGUCGGCGCAGGUCUUUCUAGCACGUCAUCAGAUGUCGUAAUGACACGACAUGAUUCCCGUAUGUAAGGAAUAGUCUUGUGCUUAUUUUUCUUCUGGAUUUUCAAAGUGGUGCUUCUGACACUUUGCCUUAUACUUGCCCCUUGAGGAAAUUGCCCUUUUGGUCUUUUUAUAUGUUGAAAAGUACGACAGUUUUCUAGGUUAUGUCCUUUUACUUGAUGAAAAGGGCAAUACAUAGGUGUAUUUUUGCUGCCAGAAGAUUGAGGAUUAACGCCUCCCGUCGGCGCCGUUCUCGAACAUUUCCCUUUGUUAAAUUUUUUAUUGACUCCACCCUUAUUUUUGGUUUCUACAAGGGGAGCUUUUCCUUCAUCUUUUUGAGAAGUUUCAGGUGAAAGCUGUUUUGAAGAUCGACUUGUAGACCUUGGUAAUAUUUCGAUAUCCCGUUCUCUGUUCUUUUGCAAUUGGGUCUGUUGAGGGAUGGGAGUACUCUUCAUUAAUUGUUCUACUCUAGCUUCGAUCCCAAUCAACAUAGAGAAUAUUACAUUCAUUUGUGCUUUCAUAUCCAAUAUUUUAUCAUUCACCUUGUGAUAGUUGCAAUGCGUCAUUUCUUUUAUUUCUGCCAAUUGGUUAUGAACUUCUCUGAGGUUCCUUUCUCGUUCGCUAAAGUGGCUAGAAGGAAAGAUCAUUUCUUCAUCAUCACGUUGUGCGGUGAUGACUCUGCAAGUUUCUCCCCAAAAAGGCUCCUAUUUUUCUUUACACUCCUCGACAGGAAUUUCUCUUUCAUCAGAGUCCUUCUUUUUCUUAGCCUAUUCUAUUGCUUUAAAAAUAAAAUCAUGAAUCAUAAGAGGCUCUCUUUCAACUUGUUUAUAUUCUUCCAGUGAGUCAAUAUGCUCCUCAAUAGGCCGCUUCUUAUGUUGUGGUUGAGCCGGCUCAACAAAUUUUUUUAUUCUUCUUAACCCGAGUUAUUCUGCGCCUUGACUUGGCUGAAGUAUUAAUUGGAGGUGUGGGCUUAUCCCCAGAUUCCACUUCUGGGUUUAAGGGGCCUCGCCAUUUUAUUCCCGGAACAUCUUAUAAAUAUUUUAACAUCUUCCGAGUUUUCUUAUAUAAAAAUAUAUUCCGAAACUCGGGGAAAAAUACAUUCUCAAUUUCUUCCAUAUUUUUUGUAUCAAUCAGAUUGGCCUUUUCGACUGGGGCUUCUGAUAACACUGAUUGUGAAAGAGUGAUUGCACCGCUUCUAUAUUGCUUUUCAACCCAGUCUUUGAAAACCCAUCAGUCUUCAAUUGGAUGGCUAAUUAAUCUAUGAUAUAGGCAAUUGUUCGGAUCACCGGUUUUCCCUAUAUCCUCUGGCUUCUUUGGCUCCGGCAGUUGAAGACCAUUUUUAACAGCAUCGUUAAAUAUUUUCUUAACUUUGUCCCGUUUGAAAGGGUAUACUUUGUUUCUUCGCUCCUCUAAAGAAAUCCCUUUUGGAUUAUUACCCCCUAACACAGGUUUUACAGGGGUCUGUUCAACUGUAGAGGUAAUUGCCUUCUUUUCUUUUUCUAUCAUAUUCGUGCGGGCCGGUCUAACCUGCGCCAACUUCGCCUCAACUCUUUUGUUAUCAUCUUUUUUUAUCUUUUGUAAGUUUAAGAGGACCUGGGGAUCGAUUCUCUCCAAUCUAGAGAUAUUUGAUAUUAAUUCAUGAAAAGUGGAACAACUAGAUGUGCACAGAAAAGGGGCCAUCCAAUUAUCAAUAUUGCCCAUGACAAGACCAACAGCUUGAGACUGGUCUAGAGGUUGUUCACACCUUAUAUUUAAGUUCCGCCACCUUGUAAUGUAAUCUAGCAUUGUUUCAUCUUUUCUUCGUCUGGUAGCUACCAGAUCAGCGAUAGUAAUAUUAUCGCUAACGGUGGCGAAUUUUGCUCUGAAAGCUUCUUCCAUGUCGGGCCAGGUUUUAAUGGACUCAUCUUCGAGGGAGUAGUACCAUUCAAAAGCUAUACCUGACAAACUUUGUGAAAAUUGUCGCAAGAGUAGAGGUCCUUUACUCCCCGUAUUUUCACACAUAGCCUUAAAAUGUGCUAGAUGCUGAUCAAGGUUACCAACACCAUAGAACAUUUUGAACUUAGGGACCUGAUACCCUUCUGGAAAAGGUACGUUAUCGUAUUCCGAUAGAUAAGAAUGUCCUUUCCCUUUCGGUUUUGGAGUUGCCCCCGCUACCGUCUCUUUAACUUGUGAAGUGAUCAAAUCAUGAAUUUCUUCCUUAGUUAAAGAGGUAGUCUCUUUAAGAACAGUUGUUUUAGCCUGUUCAUCAAUGACUCGUGGUAUGUGUGCUUCCGGCUGGGUUAGAAUCUUGGUUUGACGUCGUUGAUCCUCCAAUUGCUUCUAUACAUUUAACAUCAAACUCAUGACCUCCUCCAUCUUCUUAUAGAGAUUUAUGAUAUCUCUAUCCUUUUCAUCAACUUUCUUUUUUAAGGACGCAAUCAUAACGUCCUUUGGAUCCCUCGGGAAGCAGACAACCUCCUCUUCCUCUCGUGGGUCAGAUGGAUCACUAGGCAUAUCAUCUUUAUUCUCCAUAUUUUGUGUUUGCGAAGAGCUUGCUUCCUCAGCUCUUGCUUUCUCUUCCGCGGCUUUUCUUGCAGCAGCUCUCGUAAGAAUUUGCUGAAUAGUUUCUUCUUCAUCAACCGACUCACUUGACGACGUAUGCCCAAUAACUCUUACUGUGUGAAUCUCCAAAUUCUUUACUUUACAUUUUUCUUCUUUGAUCUGAGCAAGAGUUUUGGGCUUCCACUCUGUCUUUCUUCCUUCCCAUGAUAGUGUUGACUUUCGCUGCCACUUCGACUUCUCAAUUUUCUUCUCUAGGCUCAUUCUUCCUUUUGUAGCCUUAAAAGUUUUAUAUAUCUGCUUGAAGACAGAGUUCUUAUCAUUGUUUCUUAAGCAGGGACGUGCAAAAGAUGGUUUUAAAUGGGCCAUUUCUGACUCUGGGCGCAGAAUGGCAGUAGGUGAAUUUUUCUUCAUUACGGGCCAAAACAUCGGGCCCGGCGACAAACCUAUUAUGUUGGGUUUGUUGGGACUUGUUUCCUUUGUUCAUCUCCUGCCGCUUCAAAGUACGACGAAGAUUUCUCUUGAAUGACUUGGUCACAGUGUCCUUGGGGAACGUCAGCCUAUUGAAGACUGACGCUUUAGGCUCCAUAUCAAGUAGCGAUGUUCCGUCAAUUCGGUUUUGGAACACCAGUCUUCCUUGUAAUUCCAUCUUCUUUGAAGCGCUGAUAGGUGUCAUCCUCUCCUUCACAGGAACGCGAGGGGGGUUGGGAAUGACGACAUUCGGACGCCUCCCACGAGAGGGAAGUCGUGGAACCACAACAUUAACAUCAUUUGUGCUAGUAACAGUAGUGAAAGAGGCCAUAGCCGCAGCCCUAGCCUCUUCUGGGAUGGUACCGAACUGGAUCGCAACACCAGCAGCUCCAAUGGUGAGGACAGAUGUCGGUAGGCAAACCUGACCUGCAUUGAUCAUCAUCGAGCCUGUGGCAACAGCAGUGUUAUUCGGUGACAUUUCUCCUGUAAGGGAAUAACGAGUGUCAAUUAGAUAUCUAUCAUCUAAUUCUAUUAACAUAACAUUGGUCUCAAAGAUGGAAGGAGAAGUCAUGUCCACCGGGCGUGCCAUUUUGUCUGCGACCACGAAUGACGCACCUCGCACGGUUGAUCUUAUUUUGAUUUUUCCCGUGGGAUAGUAUUCAUGAUUCAGAUUAAUAUUUAAUUAUAUAUAUAUAUAUGGCUAUCAGGUAUUGUGGAUUCAUGGCUUCCAAUAAACGCAAGCGUCUAUUGUUAAUUACUCCUACAAAGUGUUAGGGCACCUUCGAUUAAGAGACCUCUGUAAUGCUGAAAUAGACUGAAAUAAAAAGUGGAUUUUAUAACAUAAUCCAUUGUAUAGUUACAUGGCUUAACCAGGGGCAUACCCCCAGUGUACAUGAAUGAAUAUGACGGUUGAUUGAACUUGAUUCUGAAUCAAAGUGUAUGAUCAAAUUGAUUUGAUUGGGCUCUAUAUGUUUCAGUGCUCAACAAUAUUGUUCACCCUAAGGUGAGGGAUUGAUUAAAUUCCAUGUAUAUGCAUUGGGACUUAAUCGGAUUUGAUUCAAAUUAAACCCUAGUUAGGUGCAUUAGAGUUUGAUUUGAUUAAAUUGAUUUAAGCUUUCAUCCUAAAUGUAUGUGUUAGGAUUAGCCCAAAUAUUUCGAAUUAGACUCUAAUUUUAUAUCUUAGAGUCUAGUGUAAUUAAGCUCUAUGCUUAUAUGUUAGAGCUUAAUUAUGUCUCACAUUGAGUUCACCAUAAGGUGAAAUAUUAACUAAAUCCUAAUUAUAUAUAUUAGGAUUAGUCAAAAUUUGAUUUAAAUUAAACUCCAAGUGUAUGUAUUAGAGUCUAAUUCAAUUUCAUUUGGGUUCACCAUGAGGUGAAAUAUCAACUAAAUCCUAAUUAUAUAUAUUAGGAUUAGUGAAAUUUGAUUUAAAUUAAACUCUAAGUGUAUGUAUUAGAGUCUAAUUCAAUUUCAUUUGGGUUCACCAUGAGGUGAAAUAUCAACUAAAUCCUAAUUAUAUAUAUUAGGAUUAGUGAAAUUUGAUUUAAAUUAAACUCUAAGUGUAUGUAUUAGAGUCUAAUUCAAUUUCAUUUGGGUUCACCAUGAGGUGAAAUAUCAACUAAAUCCUAAUUAUAUAUAUUAGGAUUAGUGAAAUUUGAUUUAAAUUAAACUCUAAGUGUAUGUAUUAGAGUCUAAUUCAAUUUCAUUUGGGUUCACCAUGAGGUGAAAUAUCAACUAAAUCCUAAUUAUAUAUAUUAGGAUUAGUCAAAAUUUAAAUUAAACUCUAAGUGUAUGUAUUAGAGUCUAAAUCAACUAAAUCCUAAUUAUAUAUUAGGAUUAGUCAAAUAUAAUUUAAAUUAAACUCUAAGUGUAUGUAUUAGAGUCUAAUUUGGGUUCACCAUGAGGUGAAAUAUCAACUAAAUCCUGGUUAUAUAUAUUAGGAUUAGUCAAAUGUAAUUUAAAUUAAACUCUAAGUGUAUGUAUUAGAGUCUAAUUCAAUUUCAUUUAUUUGAACUCUAAGUAAGUGUAUUAGAGUUCAAUUGAACUGAUUAGGUGAAACCUAAUAGAUGGUUUGAUCAAUUCUAAACAAAUAUUUUAGAAUUUGAUCUAAUAUGAAUGUGAUAACAAUAUGACUCUAGCUUAAUAUGCUAGAGAAUUGGAUUAAAAAGAUUUGCCCUUAACAAAUUGGUAGAGCUUGGUUUCAUAUUUGAUCUGAUAGGCAUGAUUUAAGGUCUUGGUUUGGGUUAGAUUUUUGGGUUUGAUGUUGGUCUGAAUUGGUUUUCAAUUUAGAUUUUAUUCGAUUUGGGCAUUUUUAUGAACCAGUUUGGAAUUCAAACUUGGGCUAGGUAUAGCUUCAAGUUAUGGUUCAAUUCUCGGAUGGAUUCAUUCAUGGUCCAAAUUUGGGUCCAUAUAGUUGCAUUCAAACAUGGACUAGAUCCAGGCCUACAUGGUAUGGACUCAAGUUGAGGCCUGAAUUAAAUUUUAAGUUCUGGAUAUAGGCAUAGGCCCAGUUUAGACCCGUUUAAUAUGGAUUCAGGUUGAGGCUUGAAUUGGGUUCGGGCUCACUUUAGGCCCGUAUGGUUUAAGCCCAUAUUUUCUUUAGGCAAGCUAUAGAAUUGGGCCCAGAUUUAUAUUUGGGCUGAACUUGGGUCAUAUUGAGCUUGGGUUAUGAGAUUUGAGGUGGGUACGGGCUUGUUCCAGAUGAGAUUUUGAGAUGGGAAUUAUUUAGGAUUUGUUUGAGAUCAAAAUAUUUAAAUUUAUGGUUCAGAAUCAAAUUCAUCACUUAAAAAAUUUCGAAUGCAUUUUUUUUAUUUGUCAGAUUUUCAGUCAUAAAUCACAUAAAAUGUCUAAUGCAAUUAAAUCUCAAUUUGGUCUAAUUUGACCAAAUCGAAAGAUUUGACUUUGGAUAGAAUCAAAGAGUUCGAUUAUUUUCGAACACUACAUUGUUCUUCCAAUAAAAGGACGAUCAAAAGAAUAUUAAUCGGUAAUCCGACUAAUUUUCUUUUGUCUCCUCAUUGUAGGAGAAUUAAGAGAACACAAUUUUUCCCUUUAUCUCUUUUGAAAAUAUAAGACAACAAAGACAGAUAAUUCUUCUUUUGUCUCUUUUACAUUCAUGGGACAACUAAGGUGAAAAAAUCCCUUCCUUGCCUCCUUUUUGUAACAAAGCUCCCUCUCUCUUUCGUAAUUAGAGAAGUAAUUUCUUUCUCUCUCUCUUUUAAUAAUAUACUUUUUUUUGCAAAGACAAGAGCACCGCUCUUUCCCUCUUUCGAUGAUACUAUAUUUUUUGUAAAGAGAAGAGCACCGCUCUUUCUCUUUUAAUAACACAUUUUUUUUUUUUAAAAGAGAAGAGCACCGCUCUUUCUCUAAGUUCGCUGUUGAAAGAUAUGUCUCGGACAUUCCGUCAAAUAAUUGGUAGACAUGAUUCGUUGGCGCCAACUCCGUCAGAGCAAUAUCCUAGGCAGCUUGGUAGGCGGCGAGGCUGAUGCCGUUGCUGACGAGCCUGCUGAGAUUGGUUUGCGCGUUUGCGAGUGGCGAACCGUCGACGUCCGGGAACUCAUCGAACGAGUCCUGGCAGGUGUCAACGAAAGUGCCGGCGGCCAAGAGCUCGCUGUUGGCGUUCUCGGGCCGCCCGCCGCCGCGCACCAAUCGUCGGCCCAUUCUACAGCGCAUCCGCCGCCUGCGCGUGCUCCACCUUGAGCGUCGCAGCCUGGAGUGACGCCGCGGCUCAUUGUGGACACAGAUAAAACACCUGGUGAGCGGAAGGGGUGAAGCAGGAGAGGAGCAUGAUGAGGAAGAAGGCGUCGACCGCCACACUCGGUUGCUGGAGAAAGAGGGUGACGUCGAGGAGGAAAGUGCCGACCGCCAUGUUCGGCCGUUGGAGGAAGAGGAUGACGACGAGGUAGCGGGCGGUUUCGGCGAACGCCUGGUCGAAGCGAGGAGCUCGCGGUAGACGGUGUAGAUAUAGGGGAUACGGUUGAGGCCGUCGCGGACGGCGCUGACGACGACGCACUCGGCGGCGGCGUAGUAGGCGGCCUUCUCGAAGGUCGACACGAGGGUGGUCGACGAGGACGAUGGGGUCGUAGCCGUGGCCAUGGCGAGGAGCUUGAGGCCGAUGCCCUUGAAGAGGUCGACGUCACCGACCCCGAGGAGGACGAUGCGGUCCUUGAAGCCGAGGGAGAGGUCGCGGAGCGUAGCGAGGGCCUCGGGCGCAGCGACCACGAAGCGGUGUUGGGCCACGUCGACGCCGACGGGAGGAAUCUUGACGGUGACCUGUGCGGAGACGAGUGUGGCGUCGAGGCCGGAGGUGAGCGAUGCACACGCCGGUCGGUCGUAGAGUUCGGGGCGUAGCCGAGGCGGCGAAUGGCCUCGCCCUGCUCAUCCGGCGAAGACGUGUGGUCGAGAUCGAGGGGGAGCUGGUCAGCGUCUGUGGAUCUCCACAGAGCUGUCGGCGGGUAUCGAACUACAAGUCGAAGACCCCACGCGCCUCCGCACGCCUCCAGAGGAUUCCUGCUGCUCCAAUUGCGGCUCGGAGCGGAAGAUGCUGCGGAAGCGCGCCCGCCCAUAGGAUGCGGAAGUCUGUCGUUGCCGCGGCGGCAAUCGGUGUUUGGAAUUGGGCUGGCGCCACUGGCGGAAUGGAAAGGGUUUAGGGAGCGGGAUCGGAAGGAAGAACGAGGUUUUUUUUUUUCUUUGAUUGAGGUCGGAUAUACAGAGUUCUUUUUUUUCGUUUUUUUUUUUUUUUUAGAGGGAGAGAGAGCUUGUAGCUGGCAACUAUAUUGAGAAUAGAAAAAAAUUUUUUUUUUUUUUUUUACCUUUCUUCUUUCUUUCGUAGAAAUGGAGUAGUAUAAUUUCUUUUUUUAGAAAUGGGUUUGAGAGUUUCAAGAAAACACUGUGUCUCUCUUUCUCAUUGAGAGAUAUUUAUGGGAUUAGUCGUAACUAUCCUGGAGAACGUGCGUAUGGUGCGUGCGUAUGGGAGAGGUGGGAAGUUACGGUAUAGGAUCAUGGGAUCAUGGGUAUGAAAUUGCACAUUAACCCUUCUUAUUUGUUUAUAUUAUACUUUUUUAUAAUAAAAUAUUUAUGUGUUUGAAGUGGAGCAAAUAUGUGAAAGGGAAAGGACUAAUUUGCUAUUUGUAAUACUCAUUCAUGCCUACGAGAACAUCCCACUUUUUUUGUAAUAUAUGCACCUGGUGCAUGGAUUAACCUAUGCACCAGGUUCAAAAUUUGAACUCAAAUUUCUCCAUGCACCUAGUGCAUGGAUCAUCUCAUACACCAUUAUUCAAUUUUCUCUCCUUCUGCCUUUUUUCUUUCUCCUUUUUUUUUUUUUUCUUCUUCUUCUUCUUCCUCUUUUUUUUUAUGCUUCAACAGUUCCCUUGAAGCUUUGGGGUUCAGGGACGCGGACCUUUGGGGUGUACUCCUUCUGCGUUUCACCGCCUCGAGCCAUCGCCUUCUCAAGGAUAGUCACUCUCGUCUUGAGGUCCUCGACCUCGUCGACUCGAGUGACUAGCUCCUCGAUCAAGUUCUUCCGCUCCUCGUCACAACGGGUGAUGUUGCCUUGGAGCUUCUCGAGCUCGCCUCGAAAGGUCGCCAUGGCAGUGGCGACGCUCUCCUCCAUACUGCGAAUAUUAUCAUUAAAGGCAUUAAAGGUAUCGGCCAUCUCGGUGUACCUUUCUCCCACCUUCGAUAGAAUGUCCUCCAACAGUGCAAGGCGGUCCUCGACCGACGCGGAAUCCUUCGUGAUUCGCGUGUCCUUGCCCUUGCUCCACUUGGAGGGUUGCUUGGAGGGUUCACCCCCAACGUCGUCAGCACCGGCCUCUGAUGACGACAUGGCUCCUUCUCAAACCGGCUCUGAUACCAACUGUCACAGACUUAACGGUUUGGUAAGCAAAAUCCGUGCGGCGCUCACCUUCCUUCGCGAAGUGAGCAAGCCUGUCUCUCUACUUGCUAAGUUAGGACCUCACUCGCCCUAAACUAAGUACAAGAGAGAGAUAUGAAGAAAGCUCUUCUAUUACUUUAAAUUUGAGAAUACAAUAUGAAAUUCUGAAAUGAGAGGGGGUGGAGGCCACACUAUUUAUA